Xenia sp. Carnegie-2017 is the source of this 426-nucleotide long non-coding RNA. RefSeq lists it as uncharacterized. The record is from RefSeq and is a predicted model, not a curated record. NCBI's taxonomy places the organism in Eukaryota, Metazoa, Cnidaria, Anthozoa, Malacalcyonacea, Xeniidae. The transcript has 5 exons.
GCUCGAAGUUGCAAGGAUGGUCACGUGUGUUUGCAUCCAAUCUGGGACAGGCAAGAUCGUGGGGACACUAAAUGAACGGAAAAAAGGUUAUCGAGGAUAUCUUGUCUUGCUCGGGUAAAUGGAAUGUCAGUCAGAGAAUACGAUGCAACGACGACAUCCGAUUCGACAGACAAAUAAAAUGAAUGAAAAGAUCAUAUGUACUGUAAGUCAACAAUACCUUGUGUGUGAAAGGAAGAAACUCCUUAUAAUAUACUCUCGGUGGCGGUGCCAGCUCCUGAUCCGAAAUCCAAAAUAGUUUCUGGUUUGAAAUCUUUGCAUCUUCUAGCGAUCUAAAAUCAUUCUCUUUCUUAUGUUGAUUGUGAAGUUUCUUGUACAGCUUCGUUUGUCUUUUCGCUCGAUGCUUCUUUCUUCUGUUCAUCCACAUGU